This 2146-nucleotide long non-coding RNA is filed under the name Gallus gallus (chicken). The record is from RNAcentral. Lineage: Eukaryota; Metazoa; Chordata; Aves; Galliformes; Phasianidae.
CUUAACCAGUGCUGGUUUUGCUUCAGUUAGCACAAGACAGCUGUCGGGGAUGGUGUCCUCAUCUCAGACUGUUGUCCACAAAGGAUGGAUGCCCACAAACCAGCCAGCCAACAGCAAACUGCCCUUGGUGAGGCUCUGCAGCAGGCACAGAGCAGUGCUGUGUGCUGGCUGCUAUCUGCAGAGCAGGGAGACCCAGGGCAAAAUGGAAGGGUUCCAGGCUCUGAGUUAAUAACUUCAGGGACUGAGCUCUGCUACUGAGGUACUCCGUCCCUGCUCCUCCCAGAGUUGUUCCUUGUACUUUAAGGGCAGUCUGGAAGAUAAACUACACUUGUCUUUGCCCAAAUCCAGAAGAAGAAUAGGACCAACAAUUUCUGCUGCUUUCUAGAAUAUGUAAAUAUCUAGAAGUAAGCAAGUCUCUGGCUGGGUACAUAGCAGGAAAAUACUGCAUGUUGCAACAGCACCAUUUUUAAUUUACAUUUAGAAAGCUUAUUUCUGUUAAGUCUAAUCCACCUACAAUGAUCUAAUAGGUAACAAGUGGGAUUACAGAACUGAAACCUCCACGGCGAGGCAGUACCUCUGCCUGCAGGCAGCUGCCAAAGGACAGCACAGCACAGCCCUGAGCAGCCCUGGUUCCUCAGCAAAAACAGACAGAGCUUUUUCUUUCUUAAUUAACAGAUCCGUGUAUUUGUCUGUAGUGCUGAACCCAAAAACAGCCUCUUCCCCUUCAGGUCACUUUCAGUUUUAUUCCUUGUGCUGUUAGCAUCUUUGUGUCAGUCCCUCUUUCCCCACUGCACACGCUCUGUCUGACAGCCAUUUCCCUGCAGGACUUCAGGUAAGCUGCCUUUCCUCCCUUGCAGCCCUCUUUUAGUCUCAUUUCUGGCUCUGAAAGCAGGACUAAAGCAAAUGCACUACUCUUGGGGAAAAUAAAAACCUGUGCAGCAGGGGAGAUGUGCUGCUGGUUGCGAGGAGCAAAGAGAUCCAUGCAAUCAAGGGAACACAGCUCUGGAAGAUGCUGCCUGUGUUUCCUGCUGCUGAACAAUUUGGGAAGGGGUUUCAAUAUCCCAUAGCAACCUAAUGAUCCCAAAGCCAACAGGGAUUUUGGCACGGCUACCUCCUGUUAACGAACUGUUUACAAUGCUUUAAAACAAAGAAUUAUACAGCCUGUCAAUGAAAAAAUGCCUCUCUGAUUAAAGUCAUCUCGAAGAAGUGGUGGAAGUGAACUGCAAUUAACCUCUUUCCUUCUGUUGUCCAUCAUUCUGUCAGCACGUAGCGAUGUUAUUGUGCUGCAGAGAUGGGCUGUGGAUGUUCCCUCUGGAGCACACGCUCAGCUGUCAGCGGUGUGGGCCGUCUCAGCAUCCAUCUCCUGAAGAACACUUCCAUCCCAAUGGCCCAUUGUUUUCUCUAACUCAGUUUUCACUCUGAGCUGACAGUCCAAAAUUGCACUCCGUAUGCUCUGCAGGUUCCACUGCGUUCUCAGGAGAGCAUCAUCCAACGUGAAGACACCAUCACGUGUUCUUCGCACCUGUGUGCACACAGCAGAUGAUUUCAGCUCCAGACCAAUCUCGUGGACUACCUUCCGGAGCAGGGCUUUGUGAUUCGUCCCUUGGAUGACGGCGAGGAUCCGUUCCAGCUUCUCCCUCGUGAUAUGGUCUGCAAACAUCAAGGUGGAAACCAAGGCUCAGUAAUCCAUCUGGAACCUGGAAGGGCAGCAGGCCGAGUGGUGCCAUCGGUGUCAGCAGCCCCCAGCAGGUCGCAUCCAAAUGCUCCAUAGGAGCCACAGCGUGGAGUCAGCCCUGCUGGCUGUGCCGUGUUCAUCAGCAGCGCAGUGCUGCACUACAAAGGGACAUUUAUCCUGAACUGACUUCCAGAUGUUGGCUCCAGUUGCUCAUACAAGUGGCUGAAGGACUGAACUCCACAAAGGCUUCUCAGCUUCUCUACCUCCAGAUGUGAUGUGAGCAGAUCUGAGUCCCACCCACAGCAGCAGCAGCCGCCGGGAUCAGAGCUCAGCCUGGGUCAGUGUGUGCUGUACUCAGCACAGGUGGACUGAAGCACCACAACUGCAUGUGGGCAACGUGCAUAAAGAGAGGCCAGGAAGCAUUUGGAGCAUCGCCUCUUAUUGCAGUGCCUCCCACCUGGCCGAACGCCC